UCAAUUUUUUUUUAUUAUCUUUUAAAAUUUAUAGAUAAUAAACAUAUUUUAAGUCCUAUAUAGUGUCCCAGGCAAAUGCAUUAAUGUGCUAUGUAUGUUAUCGAAAAUUAUUGAUUGACAUUAAAUUAUUACCAGAAGCAUAUAUACUAAAUAAUGUCUCUAAUAUUAUUUAGCUGUAAUAAAUGUGAGGUAUGAUUGCCAAUUAGACAGGCUGUUAAUUGGAUUAAACAUAUAUAUUCUUCAACUAAAUUAAAUAACUUCAUUGAAAUUAUAUCUAACAAUAUAGUUUAUAUUAUAUUAAAAUAUAUCAAAUAGUUUUAAGGUUUAGGACUUCUGGUUAAACUUUAUGCUCUACUAUAGGGGUGCUCCUAUGUAAAGGAUGCUUGUAAACAAAAGAAUUUGUUAUUUGUUCAUUUAUAUGUCUUACUUAGUCAGGACUUUAAGCAGUAAAUAUCAUUUUAAAACUGAAUUGAGUCAGUAAAGUCGGGAAGCUGAUUAUGAUAAGAAACAUUGGAUAGUGGUCUAUUGAAUGGGGAAACCAGCAUGUACCUAUUUGCACAUGGAUAACUAUUCUUCGUGACGAUAUCCGGGACCGGAGAUCGGUUUUUAAAACGCUUGAAAGAUUCAGAUGAAUGAUGCAAAUUUGAAGACGCCGGUAGCCAACUGACAACAACUUGUUGAACAAGUACUUGUUUCUGUUUAUUUAACGAGACAAACACAAUCAAUGAGCUAUGAGCACAUAGAUACUCGCGAAAAUAAUACAGCAGUACAUUGUAUUACAACAAAUGGACAGAGGAGUUGACUAUUGAUAGCGACUGAUAAUGGACUGGAGUAACCUAGCGUCCAAUGACUCUGAACAUGCCUGACAGUACUGGCAUGUGUACAUGUAUGUCGACAGCCAAUUCUAAGUAACCUUAAAGGUAUACAUUGUAUAUACAAAAGACCUACAAUAAUUAAUUAGCUCCUCAGAUGUCAGUGGAAUGGAAGUAAUACACAUCAUAUGUUUCAAUGAAAUUAAUAUGAUUAAUGAUGGGAUAAGACGUAGAGGAGGUCCUAUAGCUACAGUACAUGUACAUGUAACUGCAAAUGUAUUCCAAGAGUUUAUGGCUGAUUAUGCAACUACAGGAUUUUAUCAUUGAAGCAACAUCUUAGAAGGAUAAGUGCAAAUGUAUGAAGGAAGCCUUGUGUACAAAUACAUGUAGCAAUUACAUGCAGGAGAGAACACUUAAACAUUACUAACAUGUAGUCAUGAUAUUGGAGUGGUGCAUUCUAGAAAUCUAAACACCUGGAAUUAAAUAUUGUGUAUAUUUUUUUUCAGCCACAAGUACUUUCAGCAUAUAAUACAAUUCAAAUUCAAAUUAUUGUGUCAACAUGGCAGUUACUGUCUAAAAAUGGAAAAUGCUUGUUUUAAAAUGAAUUUUAUAUAAAA
Molecule: long non-coding RNA, 1429 nt
Organism: Mytilus californianus (California mussel)
Lineage: Eukaryota; Metazoa; Mollusca; Bivalvia; Mytilida; Mytilidae
Exons: 4
Source: RefSeq, a predicted model, not a curated record